RNAcentral lists this ribosomal RNA (253 nucleotides) under uncultured bacterium. Its description in RNAcentral is "partial 16S ribosomal RNA". It matches the Rfam family "Bacterial small subunit ribosomal RNA", at positions 524 to 776 of the family's 1533-position model. The record is from RNAcentral.
UACGAAAGGGGCUAGCGUUGUUCGGAAUUACUGGGCGUAAAGAGCGCGUAGGCGGGCUAGCAAGUUGGGGGUGAAAUCCCGGGGCUCAACCUCGGAACUGCCUCCAAAACUGCUAGCCUAGAGGAUGUGAGAGGAUAGUGGAAUUCCGAGUGUAGAGGUGAAAUUCGUAGAUAUUCGGAAGAACACCAGUGGCGAAGGCGACUGUCUGGCGCAUUUCUGACGCUGAGGUGCGAAAGCGUGGGGAGCAAACAGG